GGGCGGGUAGCUCAGAUAGGAGAGCACCUGCUUGGGCAGCAGAAGGCCGAGACGAGUAUCGUUCCGCCCA
Molecule: transfer RNA, 70 nt
Filed under: Gemmatimonadetes bacterium 13_1_20CM_69_28
Lineage: Bacteria; Pseudomonadati; Gemmatimonadota
Description: tRNA-Pro
Source: RNAcentral